GAUGAACGCUGGCGGCGUGCCUAAUACAUGCAAGUCGAGCGAACGGACGAGAAGCUUGCUUCUCUGAUGUUAGCGGCGGACGGGUGAGUAACACGUGGAUCACCUACCUAUAAGACUGGGAUAACUUCGGGAAACCGGAGCUAAUACCGGAUAAUAUUUUGAACCGCAUGGUUCAAAAGUGAAAGACGGUCUUGCUGUCACUUAUAGAUGGAUCCGCGCUGCAUUAGCUAGUUGGUAAGGUAACGGCUUACCAAGGCAACGAUGCAUAGCCGACCUGAGAGGAUGAUCGGCCACACUGGAACUGAGACACGGUCCAGACUCCUACGGGAGGCAGCAGUAGGGAAUCUUCCGCAAUGGGCGAAAGCCUGACGGAGCAACGCCGCGUGAGUGAUGAAGGUCUUCGGAUCGUAAAACUCUGUUAUUAGGGAAGAACAUAUGUGUAAGUAACUGUGCACAUCUUGACGGUACCUAAUCAGAAAGCCACGGCUAACUACGUG
This 497-nucleotide ribosomal RNA is filed under the name uncultured bacterium. RNAcentral's name for it is "partial 16S ribosomal RNA". It matches the Rfam family "Bacterial small subunit ribosomal RNA", at positions 28 to 507 of the family's 1533-position model. The record is from RNAcentral.